This 468-nucleotide ribosomal RNA is filed under the name uncultured bacterium. RNAcentral describes it as "partial 16S ribosomal RNA". It matches the Rfam family "Bacterial small subunit ribosomal RNA", at positions 28 to 507 of the family's 1533-position model. The record is from RNAcentral.
GACGAACGCUGGCGGCGUGCUUAACACAUGCAAGUCGAACGGAAAGGCCCUGCUUUUGUGGGGUGCUCGAGUGGCGAACGGGUGAGUAACACGUGAGUAACCUGCCCUUGACUUUGGGAUAACUUCAGGAAACUGGGGCUAAUACCAGAUAGGAGCUCCUGCUGCAUGGUGGGGGUUGGAAAGUUUCGGCGGUUGGGGAUGGACUCGCGGCUUAUCAGCUUGUUGGUGGGGGAGUGGCUUACCAAGGCUUUGACGGGUAGCCGGCCUGAGAGGGUGACCGGCCACAUUGGGCCUGAGGUACGGCCCAGACUCCUACGGGAGGCAGCAGGGGGGAAUAUUGCACAAUGGGCGGAAGCCUGAUGAAGCAACGCCGCGUGCGGGAUGACGGCCUGCGGGUUGUAAACCGCUUUCGCCUGUGACGAAGCGUGAGUGACGGUAAUGGGUAAAGAAGCACCGGCUAACUACGUG